RNAcentral lists this ribosomal RNA (406 nucleotides) under uncultured Propionibacteriaceae bacterium. RNAcentral's name for it is "bacterial SSU rRNA". It matches the Rfam family "Bacterial small subunit ribosomal RNA", at positions 356 to 774 of the family's 1533-position model. Lineage: Bacteria; Bacillati; Actinomycetota; Actinomycetes; Propionibacteriales; Propionibacteriaceae. The record is from RNAcentral.
GGGGAAUAUUGCACAAUGGGCGCAAGCCUGAUGCAGCAACGCCGCGUGCGGGAUGACGGCCUUCGGGUUGUAAACCGCUUUCAGCACCGACGAAGCGAAAGUGACGGUAGGUGCAGAAGAAGGACCGGCCAACUACGUGCCAGCAGCCGCGGUGAUACGUAGGGUCCGAGCGUUGUCCGGAAUUAUUGGGCGUAAAGAGCUCGUAGGCGGUUUGUCGCGUCGGAAGUGAAAACUCAGGGCUUAACUCUGAGCCUGCUUCCGAUACGGGCAGACUAGAGGAAGUUAGGGGAGAACGGAAUUCCUGGUGGAGCGGUGGAAUGCGCAGAUAUCAGGAGGAACACCGGUGGCGAAGGCGGUUCUCUGGGACUUUCCUGACGCUGAGGAGCGAAAGCGUGGGGAGCAAACA